ACAACACAAAACUUGAAAAAAAACCAACAACAAAAAAAAAAAGGAACACAGUUUUAAAAGAGAGGAGAAGUCACACACGAGAGGAAGGGGAGAAUAUUUUGUGAAAUUAAAAAAAAGGUAGUGAAAACAUUGAAGAGAAGGGAAAACAGUAAAAGAAACAAAACAAGAAGAAAAAAACAAAAACAGAAAGGGAAAUAUAAAGCAAAAACGAAGGGUUUGGGUUUGAGUUUGGGAUCUUGUUCGAGCUUCUGGUGACAACGUUCUUGCAUUAAUAUUUGAUUUAAUUUGUAAUACAGGUUUCAUCUCAUCUUGUAUUAUAUUUCAUAAGUUUAUCAUAAAUCAAAGCAUGAAUGAAGUUGUUCCAACGACUUGUUAUGUUAUUUAGCGUGUGUAAUUUGUUAUUUUUAUAUAGUUUGCUUUUUGUCUUUGUCUACCAAUCGUUUAUUGGCUUGGAAUAAUGUUGGUUAGAUUAGUUUGAAUUUUGAAUGAUAUAUUUUUAAAAAGUUAAU
This 509-nucleotide long non-coding RNA is filed under the name Capsicum annuum. RNAcentral's name for it is "long non-coding RNA (CANN_LNC008178)". The record is from RNAcentral. Lineage: Eukaryota; Viridiplantae; Streptophyta; Magnoliopsida; Solanales; Solanaceae.